CUGGUGUCAGCCGCCGCGGUAAUACCAGCACCCCGAGUGGUCGGGACGAUUAUUGGGCCUAAAGCAUCCGUAGCCGGCCCUGCAAGUCUUCCGUUAAAUCCAUCCGCUCAACGGAUGGGCCGCGGGAGAUACUACAGGGCUAGGAGGCGGGAGAGGCAAGCGGUACUCAGUGGGUAGGGGUAAAAUCCUCUGAUCCACUGAAGACCACCAGUGGCGAAGGCGGCUUGCCAGAACGCGCUCGACGGUGAGGGAUGAAAGCUGGGGGAGCAAACCGGAUUAGAUACCCGGGUAGUCCCAGCUGUAAACGAUGCAGACUCGGUGAUGGGCUGGCCUAGUGCUAGCCCAGUGCCGCAGGGAAGCCGUUAAGUCUGCCGCCUGGGGAGUACGGUCGCAAGACUGAAACUUAAAG
RNAcentral lists this ribosomal RNA (409 nucleotides) under uncultured Nitrososphaerota archaeon. Its description in RNAcentral is "bacterial SSU rRNA". It matches the Rfam family "Archaeal small subunit ribosomal RNA", at positions 452 to 861 of the family's 1478-position model. Lineage: Archaea; Thermoproteati; Nitrososphaerota. The record is from RNAcentral.